UACGUAGGGGGCAAGCGUUGUCCGGAUUUAUUGGGCGUAAAGAGCGUGUAGGCGGCCAGGGAGGUCCGUUGUGAAAACUCGAGGCUCAACCUCGAGACGCCGAUGGAAACCCCCUGGCUAGAGUCCGGAAGAGGAGAGUGGAAUUCCUGGUGUAGCGGUGAAAUGCGUAGAGAUCAGGAAGAACAUCGGUGGCGAAGGCGCUCUGCUGGACCAUAACUGACACUCAGGGACGAAAGCUAGGGGAGCGAAUGGG
Molecule: ribosomal RNA, 253 nt
Filed under: uncultured bacterium
Lineage: Bacteria
Description: partial 16S ribosomal RNA
Rfam family: Bacterial small subunit ribosomal RNA
Source: RNAcentral